This 480-nucleotide ribosomal RNA is filed under the name uncultured bacterium. RNAcentral describes it as "partial 16S ribosomal RNA". It matches the Rfam family "Bacterial small subunit ribosomal RNA", at positions 29 to 507 of the family's 1533-position model. The record is from RNAcentral.
AUGAACGCUGGCGGCGUGCUUAACCCAUGCCAGUCGAACGAAGCACUUUAUUUGAUUUCCUUCGGGACUGAUUAUUUUGUGACUGAGUGGCGGACGGGUGAGUAACGCGUGGGUAACCUGCCUUGUACAGGGGGAUAACAGUUGGAAACGGCUGCUAAUACCGCAUAAGCGCACAGCAUCGCAUGAUGCAGUGUGAAAAACUCCGGUGGUAUAAGAUGGACCCGCGUUGGAUUAGCUAGUUGGUGAGGUAACGGCCCACCAAGGCGACGAUCCAUAGCCGACCUGAGAGGGUGACCGGCCACAUUGGGACUGAGACACGGCCCAAACUCCUACGGGAGGCAGCAGUGGGGAAUAUUGCACAAUGGGCGAAAGCCUGAUGCAGCGACGCCGCGUGAGCGAAGAAGUAUUUCGGUAUGUAAAGCUCUAUCAGCAGGGAAGAUAAUGACGGUACCUGACUAAGAAGCACCGGCUAAAUACGUG